UACACAUCAAGUCGACGGCAGCACGGGGGCAACCCUGGUGGCGAGUGGCGAACGGGUGAGUAAUACAUCGGAACGUGUCCUGUAGUGGGGGAUAGCCCGGCGAAAGCCGGAUUAAUACCGCAUACGCUCUACGGAGGAAAGGGGGGGAUCUCAGGACCUCCCGCUACAGGGGCGGCCGAUGGCAGAUUAGCUAGUUGGUGGGGUAAAGGCCUACCAAGGCGACGAUCUGUAGCUGGUCUGAGAGGACGACCAGCCACACUGGGACUGAGACACGGCCCAGACUCCUACGGGAGGCAGCAGUGGGGAAUUUUGGACAAUGGGCGAAAGCCUGAUCCAGCAAUGCCGCGUGUGUGAAGAAGGCCUUCGGGUUGUAAAGCACUUUUGUCCGGAAAGAAAACCUCCGCCCUAAUAUGGUGGGGGGAUGACGGUACCGGAAGAAUAAGCACCGGCUAACUACGUGCCAGCAGCCGCGGUAAUACGUAGGGUGCAAGCGUUAAUCGGAAUUACUGGGCGUAAAGCGUGCGCAGGCGGUCCGCUAAGACAGAUGUGAAAUCCCCGGGCUUAACCUGGGAACUGCAUUUGUGACUGGCGGGCUAGAGUAUGGCAGAGGGGGGUAGAAUUCCACGUGUAGCAGUGAAAUGCGUAGAGAUGUGGAGGAAUACCGAUGGCGAAGGCAGCCCCCUGGGCCAAUACUGACGCUCAUGCACGAAAGCGUGGGGAGCAAACAGGAUUAGAUACCCUGGUAGUCCACGCCCUAAACGAUGUCAACUAGUUGUUGGGGAUUCAUUUCCUUAGUAACGUAGCUAACGCGUGAAGUGACCGCCUGG
This 827-nucleotide ribosomal RNA is filed under the name Paraburkholderia sp. Its description in RNAcentral is "bacterial SSU rRNA". It matches the Rfam family "Bacterial small subunit ribosomal RNA", at positions 50 to 876 of the family's 1533-position model. The record is from RNAcentral. Lineage: Bacteria; Pseudomonadati; Pseudomonadota; Betaproteobacteria; Burkholderiales; Burkholderiaceae.